This 457-nucleotide ribosomal RNA is filed under the name uncultured Pseudomonas sp. RNAcentral describes it as "bacterial SSU rRNA". It matches the Rfam family "Bacterial small subunit ribosomal RNA", at positions 925 to 1382 of the family's 1533-position model. Lineage: Bacteria; Pseudomonadati; Pseudomonadota; Gammaproteobacteria; Pseudomonadales; Pseudomonadaceae. The record is from RNAcentral.
ACAAGCGGUGGAGCAUGUGGUUAAUUCGAAGCAACGCGAAGAACCUUACCAGGCCUUGACAUGCAGAGAACUUUCCAGAGAUGGAUUGGUGCCUUCGGGAACUCUGACACAGGUGCUGCAUGGCUGUCGUCAGCUCGUGCCGUGAGAUGUUGGGUUAAGUCCCGUAACGAGCGCAACCCUUGUCCUUAGUUACCAGCACGUUAUGGUGGGCACUCUAAGGAGACUGCCGGUGACAAACCGGAGGAAGGUGGGGAUGACGUCAAGUCAUCAUGGCCCUUACGGCCUGGGCUACACACGUGCUACAAUGGUCGGUACGAAGGGUUGCCAAGCCGCGAGGUGGAGCUAAUCCCAUAAAACCGAUCGUAGUCCGGAUCGCAGUCUGCAACUCGACUGCGUGAAGUCGGAAUCGCUAGUAAUCGUGAAUCAGAAUGUCACGGUGAAUACGUUCCCGGGCCUU